GGCCGACAUUGAACCUGACAGAUUGGGUCGUUUAAAGAAAAAGCAAUUUGCUAUAUUGAAAGAGACAGAUUAAUAAAAGUGUUAUUAUUGUUCAUAUAAAUGUGACUGGGGUUAAUGAUAAACGUCAACUAAUGCAUGGUAGUGUUGAUAUUUAUGAAGAAAACGAUUCCUGGAAAUACGAAUGUCAAACGCUUGAAAAUUUUGACCAAUGUAACGUUAAGAUCCCGUGUCAAUUACAGAAUUUAAUAUUGUUGGUGAAGUAAAAGGGGAUAAAGUGGCUUUAUGCUUGUGUGAUGACUGUAGCCAUGUGAACGGGUUAUCGUACGGCAAAACCCAUCACGUAAAGAAGAGUCUUCAACUUUUCAAGAAAGGAAUGCCUUGUUUUGCUAUCAACACAAAGCUCGGAACAGGAACCAAUGAUCAACAACAUUUGUGGUCCAGGAACGGUUAAUUACUUUUUGUCAACACUUUUGUUCCAAUGAUCAAUUGAAAUUGAACUUAAAGAAAAUGGAAAUACAUGUGGGAAGGACCAUUCAUCGAGUUUCAACUAUCUCCUUUAUAGCAGACAGGCUUAUAAGAUGGAAACAAAUGAUAUGCUGUUUACCUGUGCAGGAGGAAAAUGAAACCAGACAGAUUAUUGACUCAAAUUCAACGCAGAAAAAAAGCUAGGAACUUGCAGUCACUGAGUGUUCUUGUUUACAGUCAUGUGUUCAAUGCUGCAACAACAUAAAUAUUAUAGCUGGCUCUAGACUCAACCUUAUGCAUCUUAAAAUGAUCUUUGAACGCGAUGGUCUCAAGAACAUUUUUAUAAUGAAUAACUAUGUAACACACGAUGUAAUACAUGACUGUGUUGAAACAUGGAAUUCAUAUCUUAAGUUACCAUUGAUGAAUGCAUAUUUUGUAGUAUGCAUUAAAAUGUAUUUUUAUGCCGUUUUACGUGCACUAACAAUCUAUCUUAAUACUUACAUACUUGUAAUAUACACAUUUGAAUACAGGACGGAUUUAUUGUUCUUAAGUGGAAUUAUUGCAAAAAUAGACGGACUUGGAACAGAAAAAUCUCAUAUAUUUGGACAGAUGAUAACACGGGACUUCAGUUCACGCGCUUGUAUUAAGCCUCGUUUUCAUACGACAUACAUGGUGCAUAGUUUUUUUUUAAUGUUUAUUGAAUAAAGGGAGUUAUUGAACACGUUAAUGAACAUAUUACACGAAUAUUUCAGUAUUGUCCCAAUAAACCAGGUGUGGUUUUACUAAUAUGUAUUACAUAUAUUUAAUGUUACAGUGUAUAAUAUUGCUUAAUUAAAAAAAAAUCAUCAUGGACAAUUUAAUCAGAUUCCAUAAGUGUAUAAUUUGAUUCUAUUUCAACGAAAUGUUUGCAUUAAUUAAAUACAAUUGUUUUUUUUUUAUUAUCAUG
Dreissena polymorpha is the source of this 1411-nucleotide long non-coding RNA. RefSeq lists it as uncharacterized. The transcript is spliced from 3 exons. The record is from RefSeq and is a predicted model, not a curated record. NCBI's taxonomy places the organism in Eukaryota, Metazoa, Mollusca, Bivalvia, Myida, Dreissenidae.